GCAGUCGAGCGGACGGAUGGGAGCUUGCUCCCUGAAGUCAGCGGCGGACGGGUGAGUAACACGUGGGCAACCUGCCUGUAAGACUGGGAUAACUUCGGGAAACCGGAGCUAAUACCGGAUAAUGCAUUUCCCCUCAUGGGGAUAUGCUGAAAGAUGGUUUCGGCUAUCACUUACAGAUGGGCCCGCGGCGCAUUAGCUAGUUGGUGAGGUAACGGCUCACCAAGGCAACGAUGCGUAGCCGACCUGAGAGGGUGAUCGGCCACACUGGGACUGAGACACGGCCCAGACUCCUACGGGAGGCAGCAGUAGGGAAUCUUCCGCAAUGGACGAAAGUCUGACGGAGCAACGCCGCGUGAGUGAUGAAGGUUUUCGGAUCGUAAAACUCUGUUGUCAGGGAAGAACAAGUGCCGGAGUAACUGCCGGCACCUUGACGGUACCUGACCAGAAAGCCACGGCUAACUACGUGCCAGCAGCCGCGGUAAUACGUAGGUGGCAAGCGUUGUCCGGAAUUAUUGGGCGUAAAGCGCGCGCAGGCGGUCUCUUAAGUCUGAUGUGAAAGCCCACGGCUCAACCGUGGAGGGUCAUUGGAGA
Molecule: ribosomal RNA, 591 nt
Filed under: Bacillus sp. CH336c_11D
Lineage: Bacteria; Bacillati; Bacillota; Bacilli; Caryophanales; Bacillaceae
Description: bacterial SSU rRNA
Rfam family: Bacterial small subunit ribosomal RNA
Source: RNAcentral